GGCCAAAUAAUUCACAAGAAAUUAAGCACCAGGAAUCAUGAAUCACAAGUUGGAAGACAAAUUGAUAUCAAUAAAUAAUACACACAUAAUUAAUCAGCUUUGUACAAAUCCUAGGUUCAGAUUAACGAACUAGCCAGACAUACUAAAAUAAAUCAAAAGCAUAAAUAAAAGAAAGCAAUUAAAAUAAAUGAAAUAGAUAAAACCCGGAAGAAAUUAUGGAUGAACAGCUUGAAUCUGCAGAAAUAAAUCUAAUCUAUGAAAACUGAAUGUAAAACUGAAAAAAGAAAAAGAAAAAGAAAGGA
RNAcentral lists this long non-coding RNA (302 nucleotides) under Salvia miltiorrhiza (redroot sage). RNAcentral describes it as "long non-coding RNA (SMIL_LNC010039)". Lineage: Eukaryota; Viridiplantae; Streptophyta; Magnoliopsida; Lamiales; Lamiaceae. The record is from RNAcentral.